Molecule: ribosomal RNA, 408 nt
Filed under: uncultured bacterium
Lineage: Bacteria
Description: partial 16S ribosomal RNA
Rfam family: Bacterial small subunit ribosomal RNA
Source: RNAcentral
AGUGAACGCUGGCGGCGUGCCUAACACAUGCAAGUCGAAGGAAGUGGCGCACGGGUGAGUAAUAUAUAGCUAAUCUGCCCCUUGUUGGAGGACAACAGUUAGAAAUGACUGCUAAUACUCCAUAGGAAGGGAUGAGACUCUAUCGUAUCAGCUAGUCGGGGGGGUAACGGCCGACCGAGGCGAUGAAGCGUCACUGGUCUGUGGGGAUGUUAAGUAGCAUUGGAACUGAGACACGGUCCAAAAACCUACGGGAGGGAGCAGUAGGGAAAUUUGCGCAAUGGGAGAGACCCUGGCGGAGCAACGCCGUGUGGAGGAUGACACUUUGCGGAGCGUAAACUCCGUUUUAUAGGGAAGCGGUACCUAACGAAUAAGCACCGGCUAACUCCGUGCCAGCAGCCGCGGUAAUUC